GCCAGGCAUGGUGGUGUGCACCUGUAAUCUCAACUACUUGGGAGGCUGAGGCAGGAGGAUCACUUGAGCUAAGGAGUUUGAGGCUGGCCUGGGCAUCAUAGCAAGACUCUGUCUCUA
Molecule: small RNA, 117 nt
Filed under: Marmota monax (woodchuck)
Lineage: Eukaryota; Metazoa; Chordata; Mammalia; Rodentia; Sciuridae
Source: RNAcentral